This 1370-nucleotide ribosomal RNA is filed under the name uncultured bacterium. RNAcentral's name for it is "bacterial SSU rRNA". It matches the Rfam family "Bacterial small subunit ribosomal RNA". The record is from RNAcentral.
AGAGUUUGAUCCUGGCUCAGAACGAACGCUGGCGGCGUGGAUAAGACAUGCAAGUCGAACGAGAGAAUUGCUAGCUUGCUAAUAAUUCUCUAGUGGCGCACGGGUGAGUAACACGUGAGUAACCUGCCCCCGAGAGCGGGAUAGCCCUGGGAAACUGGGAUUAAUACCGCAUAGUAUCGAAAGAUUAAAGCAGCAAUGCGCUUGGGGAUGGGCUCGCGGCCUAUUAGUUAGUUGGUGAGGUAACGGCUCACCAAGGCGAUGACGGGUAGCCGGUCUGAGAGGAUGUCCGGCCACACUGGAACUGAGACACGGUCCAGACACCUACGGGUGGCAGCAGUCGAGAAUCAUUCACAAUGGGGGAAACCCUGAUGGUGCGACGCCGCGUGGGGGAAUGAAGGUCUUCGGAUUGUAAACCCCUGUCACGUGGGAGCAAAUUAAAAAGAUAGUACCACAAGAGGAAGAGACGGCUAACUCUGUGCCAGCAGCCGCGGUAAUACAGAGGUCUCAAGCGUUGUUCGGAAUCACUGGGCGUAAAGCGUGCGUAGGCUGUUUCGUAAGUCGUGUGUGAAAGGCGCGGGCUCAACCCGCGGACGGCACAUGAUACUGCGAGACUAGAGUAAUGGAGGGGGAACCGGAAUUCUCGGUGUAGCAGUGAAAUGCGUAGAUAUCGAGAGGAACACUCGUGGCGAAGGCGGGUUCCUGGACAUUAACUGACGCUGAGGCACGAAGGCCAGGGGAGCGAAAGGGAUUAGAUACCCCUGUAGUCCUGGCAGUAAACGGUGCACGCUUGGUGUGCGGGGAAUCGACCCCCUGCGUGCCGGAGCUAACGCGUUAAGCGUGCCGCCUGGGGAGUACGGUCGCAAGAUUAAAACUCAAAGAAAUUGACGGGGACCCGCACAAGCGGUGGAGUAUGUGGCUUAAUUCGAUGCAACGCGAAGAACCUUACCUGGGCUUGACAUGUAAUGAACAACAUGUGAAAGCAUGCGACUCUUCGGAGGCGUUACACAGGUGCUGCAUGGCCGUCGUCAGCUCGUGUCGUGAGAUGUUUGGUUAAGUCCAGCAACGAGCGCAACCCCUGUUGCCAGUUACCAGCACGUGAAGGUGGGGACUCUGGCGAGACUGCCCAGAUCAACUGGGAGGAAGGUGGGGACGACGUCAGGUCAGUAUGGCCCUUAUGCCCAGGGCUGCACACGUACUACAAUGCCCAGUACAGAGGGGGCCGAAGCCGCGAGGCGGAGGAAAUCCUAAAAACUGGGCCCAGUUCGGACUGUAGGCUGCAACCCGCCUACACGAAGCCGGAAUCGCUAGUAAUGGCGCAUCAGCUACGGCGCCGUGAAUACGUUCCCGGGUCUUGUACACACGGCCCGUCA